GAUGAACGCUGGCGGCGUGCCUAAUACAUGCAAGUCGAGCGAACAGACGAGGAGCUUGCUCCUCUGACGUUAGCGGCGGACGGGUGAGUAACACGUGGAUAAACUACCUAUAAGACUGGGAUAACUUCGGGAAACCGGAGCUAAUACCGGAUAAUAUAUUGAACCGCAUGGUUCAAUAGUGAAAGACGGUUUUGCUGUCACUUAUAGAUGGAUCCGCGCCGCAUUAGCUAGUUGGUAAGGUAACGGCUUACCAAGGCAACGAUGCGUAGCCGACCUGAGAGGGUGAUCGGCCACACUGGAACUGAGACACGGUCCAGACUCCUACGGGAGGCAGCAGUAGGGAAUCUUCCGCAAUGGGCGAAAGCCUGACGGAGCAACGCCGCGUGAGUGACGAAGGUCUUCGGAUCGUAAAACUCUGUUAUUAGGGAAGAACAAAUGUGUAAGUAACUAUGCACGUCUUGACGGUACCUAAUCAGAAAGCCACGGCUAACUACGUG
RNAcentral lists this ribosomal RNA (497 nucleotides) under uncultured bacterium. RNAcentral describes it as "partial 16S ribosomal RNA". It matches the Rfam family "Bacterial small subunit ribosomal RNA", at positions 28 to 507 of the family's 1533-position model. The record is from RNAcentral.